RNAcentral lists this ribosomal RNA (301 nucleotides) under uncultured bacterium. Its description in RNAcentral is "partial 16S ribosomal RNA". It matches the Rfam family "Bacterial small subunit ribosomal RNA", at positions 509 to 807 of the family's 1533-position model. The record is from RNAcentral.
CAGUCGCCGCGGUAAUACAGAGGAUGCAAGCGUUAUCCGGAAUGAUUGGGCGUAAAGCGUCUAUAGGUGGCUUUUCAAGUCCGCCGUCAAAUCCCAGGGCUCAACCCUGGACAGGCGGUGGAAACUACCAAGCUGGAGUGCGGUAGGGGCAGAGGGAAUUUCCAGUGGGGCGGUGAAAUGCGUUGAGAUCGGAAAGAACACCAACGGCGAAAGCACUCUGCUGGGACGACACUGACACUAAGAGACGAAAGCUAGGGGAGCAAAUGGGAUUAGAUACCCGCGUAGUCCCUGUCUCUUAUAC